This 773-nucleotide ribosomal RNA is filed under the name Thouarella pendulina. RNAcentral's name for it is "eukaryotic LSU rRNA". It matches the Rfam family "Eukaryotic large subunit ribosomal RNA", at positions 359 to 1001 of the family's 3401-position model. Lineage: Eukaryota; Metazoa; Cnidaria; Anthozoa; Scleralcyonacea; Primnoidae. The record is from RNAcentral.
GAAAGGNCUUNGNAAAGAGAGNUAANAAGUACGUNGAACCGUUGAAAGGGAAGNAAAUAGAGAUAGAAAUUCUGGCGUGCUUGGUUUCGAUCUUUACAGACGAGCCUUGUACGCUUGCGUUGCGUGACCGGUGCACUUCCGCUUGGCGAAUGUCAACGUCGGUUUGCGUGGCGUCAAAAAGCCGCAUGCACGGUAGGUCUCACGGGAUCGGUAAGGCAUGCGUGCAAACAACUCCAUGUAGACCGAGUUCUGUCGCAGCACGUACCUGAAGGUUGAUGUCCUUAUGUCGGUUUACCGUCGCUCGGCGGACGGCUUUGCCUGUGCGUCAAGUGCGGCCGUUCAGACGAUGGGCAAUACAUACAAGACGUGCUGAGGACGUUGACGAAUCUGCGCCUCUAUCCGACCCGUCUUGAAACACGGACCAAGGAGUCUAACAUGUGCGCAAGUCCCAGAGUGAUCGAAACUCGUUGGGCAUAAUGAAAGUGAAUGCAGUCUCGGCUGCAGAGAUGAGAGGCUGUCGUGGCGGCAUCAUCGACCGACCUGUUCUACUCUUAGAAAGGUUUGAGUUAGAGCGCAACUGUUGGGACCCGAAAGAUGGUGAACUAUGCCUGAAUAGGGCGAAGCCAGCGGAAACACUGGUGGAAGCCCGUAGCGAUUCUGACGUGCAAAUCGAUCGUCGAAUUUGGGUAUAGCGGCGAAAGACUAAUCGAACCAUCUAGUAGCUGGUUCCCUCCGAAGUUUCUCACAGGAUAGCUGGAACUCUCUGGCAGUUU